GAUGAACGCUGGCGGCGUGGAUAAGGCAUGCAAGUCGGAUGUGCCGCAAGGUGCAUGGCAGACGGGUGAGUAACGCGUGGGGAAUCUACCUUUUAGUGGGGAAUAACGCUCCGAAAGGAGUGGUAAUACCGCAUGAGACCUUCGGCUGGGAUGCUGGAGGUGAAACCUGGGGACCGAAAGGCCUGGGGCUAGAAGAGGAUCCUGCGUCUGAUUAGCUAGUUGGCGGGGUAAUGGCCCACCAAGGCGACGAUCAGUAGCCGGCCUGAGAGGGUGAUCGGCCACACUGGAACUGAGACACGGUCCAGACUCCUACGGGAGGCAGCAGGGGGGAAUUUUGCGCAAUGGACGAGAGUCUGACGCAGCAACGCCGCGUGGGUGAUGAAGGUCUUCGGACUGUAAAACCCUGUCGUCAGGGACGAAGGUGCUCGUGUUAAUAGCGCGAGUGCUUGACGGUACCUGGAGAGGAAGCCCCGGCUAACUCUGUGCCAGCAGCCGCCGUAA
Molecule: ribosomal RNA, 501 nt
Filed under: uncultured bacterium
Lineage: Bacteria
Description: partial 16S ribosomal RNA
Rfam family: Bacterial small subunit ribosomal RNA
Source: RNAcentral